UCUGGUGGCUCAGAUGGUAAAGAAUCUGCCUGCAAUGCAGGAGACCAGGGUUCGAUCCCUGGGUCAGAA
Molecule: transfer RNA, 69 nt
Filed under: Bos taurus (domestic cattle)
Lineage: Eukaryota; Metazoa; Chordata; Mammalia; Artiodactyla; Bovidae
Also listed under: 5 other names
Rfam family: tRNA
About the family: Transfer RNA (tRNA) molecules are approximately 80 nucleotides in length. Their secondary structure includes four short double-helical elements and three loops (D, anti-codon, and T loops).
Source: Rfam by way of RNAcentral